UCCUCCGUUCUUGGGCGGCUCGACUUGAAGCCGUCCUCGGUCGAUUUGUCGCUACGAUGAAUUGCUAUGAGCAGAGAAUUGGAGGGUCCAUGUGCCAAGGGAGCGUGUGAUUUGGAAGAUGGAUUCACAGUCGGAGCAAGUCCACUGACGAGACUGCGGGACUCUGCAAGGCGACUUCCCCCGCGAAUUGGGAAAAA
Molecule: long non-coding RNA, 197 nt
Organism: Eucalyptus grandis
Lineage: Eukaryota; Viridiplantae; Streptophyta; Magnoliopsida; Myrtales; Myrtaceae
Exons: 2
Source: RefSeq, a predicted model, not a curated record